AUGUCGUUCCACCGCGGCAGCAGCUCCGGCACCGGCGGCGGCGACGGGCCGAGCGUUUGGCCGUCGAGCCUGAGCACGCCGGAGACAGAGGAGUUGUACCGGUUUGGGCUCCUCGUGCCGCCGGGUUGCCGUCUGCCGCACGACUGGAAGCUCGACAAGGACGGCUACCCGAGGCACGGGCGACCAUGGUCCGCAUGA
RNAcentral lists this ribosomal RNA (198 nucleotides) under Triticum aestivum (bread wheat). RNAcentral describes it as "partial small subunit ribosomal RNA". Lineage: Eukaryota; Viridiplantae; Streptophyta; Magnoliopsida; Poales; Poaceae. The record is from RNAcentral.